UGAUCAUAGUUGACAGCUGCCAAAUAGAGUACUAUUUUGCUUUGACGAAUUAUAUAUAGACCGGAAAUUACGAACAAAAUUACAUAAAAAUUGUGUACCCGACAUGAAAAACGAAAUAUUUGAUAGUGUGAGAAUUGGUGGGCAAAUUAGCGCGAAGAAUUCGAAAUUUUUUGCUACACAAAUCUUUUGAAUAAAAAAAAAAUUUGGUACGAUUACCUUGGGGAUGAAGUUGGAAACUUUCAGAG
Long non-coding RNA from Bradysia coprophila, 245 nucleotides. NCBI's taxonomy places the organism in Eukaryota, Metazoa, Arthropoda, Insecta, Diptera, Sciaridae. The record is from RefSeq and is a predicted model, not a curated record.